UUGUAAAUAAAUAUAGCAGAAAGUAAAUACAAUAUGAAGAGAGAGAAUGAUAGAUUUGAGAGAUCAAUAAAGGCCAGGGAAUCUUAGAAUAAUUCUGAUUAUUGAGUAUGACAACAAUUCGAUGGAGUGAAUGAGUUUGAAUUUUGGUAUAGUAAAAGUAGUAAAAUGGUUGUCCCUCUUCUUAGUUUAAGAGAUGAUUUUUUGUAAGCUUUCCAGGAGUCGUUGCUCUCCCAGUCGUAGCCCCUGGAGAAGUGGUAUUCCUCCUAUUUCGGAGGAAAAUUGCUACCCAGUUGUAUUAGUGGACCACUUUUUCUUUGCCACAUGGCUUCAGCCUCAAAGGUCAUCUUAGUCAUGGAUGAGUGGUAAACUCAUGGGCUCCAAGUUGCGACUUGGUUCAUAUGAGUGUUGACUAAUUCUGAGCUUGGGCUUGUUAAUCCAUAGUCUCUAGGAACACCUUUGGGCUACGAAUUAAAUCUUAUUUUGGGCCUGAGCUGCCAUUGGAGUGUGAUGUAGAGCCCAAGGUCAUUUUUUGGCAACUAUAGUUUGUCCCUUGCUUUUAGAGUUGAGUUUUGUUCAAGUGAAAAAGAUCUUGUGUUGUUACUGCAUGUAAGCAAGCUUUUUAAGGGUAGGAGCUUAUUUUGACCUUAUGUUCGAUAGAAAUUUCAAUUGGUCAAUUUCUGAGUAUAUCAGUUUGAGAGUUUUCGGUCUAGGAUUGAUUGACAACGUUUAUGCCCAAUGUUGGACAGUUGUCCAUAGUUUGAGGUAUCUUGAAAGCAAGGUGAAAUACUAUUGAAUAGUGUUAAUAGCAAGUCAUUGUGAGCACUUGGAUUGCAUUUAAGUGUCACCUUGUCCUUUAUGUAUGAAUGGAGUUGAGAAUUCUUCCAAUGUUUGUGAAAACUUGGACAUGCAUCAGACUAGGUCAUGAAACCAAAUGCAACCUUGGUCAUAAGCGUUUGAAUUACUUGAAUGGGCCGUAACUUUGAGUAUCUUGAAUGAUUUUAACCUUUAGCAGUCAGAUUAUGUGCUUACCCGAUCACUCGAAUGAGUAUGAGAUUGAACACUUGGUUAUGUUAGCUUUGAGCACUUAGCCUAGAUUCAAAUUUUAAUAGUUGGUGUUUGAAUUCAUUUGAGCAUUUAGAUUAAGCUCAACCCCUAGCAAUCAAUUUGAUUGUUAAUUUAAGUACCCAUAUUUAAAGUUUGAUGAGCACUCGAUUUUGUUGAGUAUUCGAAUUGGGUACAUUUUUUCAAAUAAUUGAAAUGACUUUAUUACUUGGCAAUAAAACUAGUUUCAAGCAUCAGCCGUCAUCUUGAGUGCCAACUUGAGCACUCAGAUUAAAUGCAAGCUUUAGUAGUCAACCUAAGAAUAAUCUUGAGCACUCUAUAUUGAAUUUUGUUGAUCACUUGGCUGCUAGUUUUGAUAAGCACCUAGUUUUGAGUUCAAAUUUAGCACUCGAAUUUGUAUGAAUUUUAGCACUUGAAAUUGCUUAACACUAGCAGUCGAACUGUAUGUUUUAUUGAGUACUCGUAUCGAUCAUAUUUAAACUCGUAUUGGAUGCAAGUAUAGAACAGUCAGAUUGGUGAUCUUUUAUACACUUGAACUAGUGUCAAUACUGAGCAUUCAGAUUUGAAGCCAAUUUUUUUUUCAUUGAUGUCAAGUGUGAGUUGUUAGGAAAAUAACAUAUAGCUUACAUAUCAUUUUUUUUUUUUGGUUACAUAGCUUACAUAUCUUUUAUCACUUACAUGUGUCACAAUAAAUUGCUUACAUAGCUUUUAUGCAAAUAAAAUUAUGGCUUUAGAUUGAUGCCAAGUGUGAGCUUUUAAGAAAAUAACAUAUUACUCAACAUAACUUUUAUCACUUGACACUUGUCACAAUGAAUUGCUUAUGUAGCUUUUAUGCCAAUAAAGCUAUGGCCAUAAGGUGACUCGAAUUGAUGCCGAGUGUGAGCUUUUUUAAGAAAGUAGCUUAUAGCUUAUAUAGCUUUUGGCACUUAGCACUUGGCCACGUGUGAGUCUACAAGUGAUAUGAGUGUAAUUUUGGUCUUUCAUUUGACCAUAAUGUGAGAAAAAAAUACUGGAGAAGAAAAACUUUGAAAAACACUGCUGAUAUUUUUAUUUUAUCGUUAUUUCAAUACACAAAAGAACCUAGAAUAUAUAGAGAUAUUCUGAAAUAAAAUAUCCCUCUAAACUAGGAAACAAAUCAGCAAUAAAUAAGAAAAAUAUACAGAUAAAACAGAAUAAUAAAAAACCUGAUUUUAUUCCUAAAAACAAGGAUUGACUAAAUCAAUACUUGAUUGCCUCUCAAUCUCUCGAAUAUCAGUCAACUGAGAGUGGCUGAUUUUCUACGCUACCCCUCAAGCUGGAUUGUAUACAUCAAACAAUCCUCGCUUGUAAGCCAUUUUUCCAAACAAAGGUCUAGGCAAUCCUUUAGUUAGAACGUCUGCAGUUUGCUCGGUUGAAGCCACAUAAGGCAUGGAGAUGGUUCCAUUGUCAACCUUCUUUAAUGAAGUGUCGAUCCACCUCUACAUGUUUAGUACGAUCACGGUGUAUAUGAUUAUGAGCUAUGCUGAUGGCAGCUUUGUUGUCACAGUACAACUUCAUGGAACUUUUUGUUGCAACUUGUAGUUCUUCUAGAAGAAGCUUUAGCCAAAUUAAUUCACUGAUCCCAUUUGCCAAGGAUCUAAAUUCAGCCUCAGCACUACUCCUGGCUACUACAUUUUGCUUUUUGCUUCUCCAUGUCACUAAGUUUCCCCAAACGUAAGAAUAGUAACCAGAUGUGGAUUGUCUAUCAACCACUGAUCCAGCCCAAUCAGCAUCAGUGUAAGUUUCAAUCUCCCGUGAUUCUCCCUUCUUAAAGAAGAGUCCUUUUCCUGGGCUCCCUUUUAGAUACUUCAAUAUUAGGAAGACUGCAUGUAGAUGUUCUUCAUAAGGAGCAUGCAUAAACUGACUUACCAUGCCGACAGCGUAAGCUAUAUCAGGUCUUGUGAGCUAAAUAAAUGAGUUUUCAUACAAGUCGUUGGUAUCUACCCUUGUCCACGGGUGUGCUCGUCUUUUGAUCCCCAAGUUUAACAGUCGGAUCAGCUGGAGUAUCAAUGAGCUUGCACCCAAGUAACCCAGUCUCCUUUAAAAGGUCCAAGAUAUAUUUCCUUUGUGAAACAGAAAUAACAGACCUAUUUCGAGCAAUUUCCAUACUUAGAAAAUACCUUAACAUUCCUAGAUCUUUGAUUUCAAAUUCUUCUGCAAGUUUCCUUUUUACAAAAUUUAUUUAUGAAGUAUUGUCUCUUGUUAAGAUAAUAUCAUCAACAUAUACAAUAAGUAUAGUUGACUUACCACCCUCAUGUUUGUAGAACAAUGUAUGGUUGGUGUGAGCCUGCUUAUACCCUUGGUGGAGAACAACUUUCGUGAACCUCUCAAACCAUGCCCUUGGUGAUUGUUUAAGUUCAUAAAGAGACUUGUUUAACUUACACACCUGUCCUGUCCUUUUAGCUCUCUGAAAUCCUGGAAGAAGUUCCAUAAAGACUUCUUCAUUCAAGUUUCCAUUAAGGAAGACAUUUUUAAUGUCCACAUGAUGAAGCGGCCAAUCUAGAUUUUCUGCUAGUGAGAGAACACAGAUCGUAUUGAGCUUGGCUACAGGAGCAAAUGUCUCUUGAUAGUCUAUCCCGUAGGUCUGAGUAAACCCUUUUGCAACUAACCGUGUUUUGUAUCUUUCAACAGAUCCAUCUGAUCUAUAGUUUAAUGUGAAUACCCAUUUGGACCCCACAGGAACAACAUCUUAGGGUUUUGUGACAAUUUCCCAAGUCCCAUUUUUCUCUAAAGCUUGCAUUUCUUCUUCUACUGCCCUUCUCCACUCCGUUCGUUCAAGUGCUUCUUCAAUUGUCUUAGGAAUUUCAAUCUCUUCAAGAUUAGAGACAAAGGCUUUCAUAGACGUGGAUAAAUGAUCUUACUGUCAGCUGGGCUAUAGGAUGUUGAGUGCAAGAACGAACACCUUUCCUUAAGGCAAUAGGUAGAUUAUUUUAACUAUCCAAAGGAAAAGAGACAAGUGAAUUACUUGGGUCUGGAUCAGAUUCAUGACAAGUCUUUUGAGUAAGAGGAGUUUCUACUAUUUGUUGAUUCUUCCGAUGAGAGUAAACACGAAGUUCAAUAUUUUGUUGGGUUUUUUCUUGUUGGACAUCUAGGUCAAGAUCCUUGGCUUCUUGAUGACAUCUUCCUCAUCAAAAUUUUCAAUUAUUGGCAAACUGGGGCUUUUUGGAUGUGCGUGAUUAGGGUCUGAAAUAGGUUUGGAAGUAGUUGAAGAGGAGGAGCUUGGUAAGGUAAUGGAGUUUGAUGAAGUGAUGUGAUUGAGAAUUUUUUAGACCACCAUUGACGUAUGUCUAUGCUAGGAGGGGUAAGGGCAGAAAGAAUGACAGGUUAGCAGAGAGUAGGAGCGAGGAGAGUUAGUUAGGAGGGGUUUUGUAUUGUGUAAGGGGAACACGGUAGAAUUGAUAAGCCUUAGUAUAAAUAGAGGAGAGAAAUAGAGCAAAGUGUGCAUUCCUUUACUGAGAAAUCUGAUUGUAAUUGGAGAGAACCCAGCUCUCGAAUUCUGGGUAUUUUCAAUGAAAAGGCUGUUGAGGAGCAUUAUUGAGCUUGGUUAUUAAAUUCCUUACUGUUAAUUCUAGCAUUACCAUAUCAAGUGGUAUCAGAGUCCAGGUCCACUAUGGGACCUAAGCCGGAUUUUCAAAUAGAAAUGGUGGAGGAGAAGAUCGAGGAAGUUCAGUCGGAGUUUCGGCAGGAGGUGUCGGCAAUUUGAGCACAGGUGCAGCACUUUCUGCAAGAAUUGGAAGCCUUACGCGCUGAUACACAGAGGAUCCCAGAACUGGAGAAGAAGGUAGAGUACUUGAUUACCCAUAUCACUCAGCUGUUGCAAUCUUCCAAUAGUAUGGGAGCUGUUGGUACGAGUGCGGCGGAGGAUCGGCAUGGGAAGGCAGUUGAAGGAGACAGUUCGUCAUCGCAUCAACCGAUGGGUCCUCCGUCGGCGACGCUUCCACCACCGGCACCUUCAUUGAGCUAUCCGACACCGCCAUUGGAGCCACACACAGCUCGGGAUUUCAGGCCACCGCCGAUGGAACUACCCUUGUUCUCGGGUGAGAACUCAGAUGGCUGGGUCUUUCGCGUGGAGCGUUACUUCCUGCUGAAUCGUCUCACAGAAGCUCACAUGUUGGAGGCGACGAUUAUUGGGUUGGAAGGGGAUGCACUCAUGUGGUUCCAGUGGGAACACUCCAGGCGCCCAAUCACUUCAUGGGCUCUGUUGAAACAUUUGUUGAUGGUGCGAUUUCGGUCGGUUCCAGUGGGGUCGGCGACGGAGGAGUUGUUAUCUGCCAAGUAGGAGACGACGGUGAGGGCUUACCGGAUUCAGUGGGAAGCACUGGCGUCGAGGGUGGUCGGAGUUCCAGAACACGUUCUGGAGGGCUGUUUCAUCAAGGGAUUGAAAGAGGAGAUCAAGGGCCCUUUACACGUGCUGCAGCCAUCGAGCCUGACCCACAUCAUGGAAACGGCCCAAAGGAUUGAAGAGGGUCAUCAUUUGACUGGAUUGGGCUUUCACCAAAAAGGGGGUAUGGCUCGGGCUGCCCCAAGCCCAAUCGUGAUACCAAGGUUCACACCCCAGCCCUCUUCGACGAGGAGUUCGCACACCAUCUUCUCCGGCGGCUCUACCCAACCGAAGGCGAGUACAGGGCAUACGACGGGAACCCAAACGAACCCCCCGAUCAUGCGACGAUUGACGGAAGUCGAAUAUCUUGACAAGAAGAAUCGUGGAGUUUGUUUUCGUUGUGAUAAGAAGUUUCACAGAGGGCAUGUGUGCGAACAGAAGGCACUCCAUGUCAUGUUAGUUGCCGAUGACUUAGAAGGGUCCGAAAGUCAAGAAUCGGCCCCGUCCAGCCCAGAAUCCGGUGACGAAACAAUGCAAGAGGAGCAACUGGCGAUGCUGUCCCUGAAUUUGUUAGUUGGAAUAUCAUCAGCCCAUACAAUGAAAAUAUCAGGCACCAUAGCCAAGCAUCCAGUAACGGUGCUCAUUGAUAGCGGAGCCACACAUAAUUUUGUGUCGAAGGAGUUGGCUCAGGCGGUUCAUCUACCGAUUACAGCAACAACCGUUUACGGAGUAUUGCUGGGAACAGGAGGCCGAGUGCGUACAGAAGGCAUUUGUACGAAUGUGGAUGUAAUGACCCAACUACUCUAGACUUUUGGACCAUUAACGAAAAUUAAACCUACUAAUCCUUAAUAAAACUUACAAGUGAAAAUACCAUAACUUUAUUAAGGAACUUGUAAAAAUAAGAGUUAAACUUACAUAAAAUUUAGGUUAGGAUAUGGGAUCUCAUUGUUUUAAAAAGAAAACAUAUCUUAAUUGAAAUGAAAAGAGAUUACAUAAAUAGAUGCGGAAAAAUACAUAUAAACCAUAAAUAAAGACUACAUCCUCGAAAUCGAACUCUAGACUCCUUGAAUCCAUUCAUCACCGAUACACAUUCCCCAAGCAUCCACGAAUCUUACUUGCCACUAUAGCUAUUUUCCUGCACACAUAAACAAAAAGGAAUGAGCCUAAUGCCCAGCAAGGAAAAUCUACCACAUAGUUCAUAUACAUAAAUUUCAUAAGAAACAUAAAAACAUAGCAUAACACUUAUAUCAUACACAUACUAUAAUGACCAUUAUUACUUGGGGUCUCAUAGACUAAACAAGUCAUAUGCCCAUUAGAUUAGUGGGGUCCUACUAGCUAAGCAGGUCAUAUGCCCAUAAUCUAUUUGGGGCUUGUUAGUCAUAUGGGUCUAUGCCCAAGCCUACAAACAUACAUAUCAUAACAUAUUGCAUAACAUAAGAAUCAUAAGAUAACACAUACAAACAUAUAACAUAUAAAUUCUAUCUUAUUUUCCUUACCAAAAUUACUGGGAUAAGAGGACAGAGUUGAGACUUUGGAACACUCCUAAGAACUAUUUUGAAAAAAGAGUGAGUAUAGUGAAGAAGAGAAAUGGAAGAAAUGGAAGGACUAAACCAUUGAGAAAAAUACUUACAAAAAACUUAUGUGCAAGUUCUUAGAUUUCCUAACCAAAAUAAGAAUAAGGUUAGAAGGCUGAGUAGAAGACUAUGAGAACUUAAAAUAAAAUAAUACCAAUGAACUAAGGUGUGGAAAUACCUUGAAGACUUGUAAGACCAAUCUAAACCUUUCAUCGAAAUGUGUAUAGAACCUUACUUCCCAAAGUGUUUGAUAAGCUUAUGAUGAUCAAGCUUAUGAUUCCCAACCCAAGUGUUUAUACUCUCACACUCACCUAGCAACUUGCAGCCUCUGAACUUAGAGCAAAAGAUGAAUAAUGGCUGGGUACUCGGUCCUAUUUAUAGAGUUUAGGAAUGAAAGGAUCUUAAUUUAACUUGAAUAAAAAUAAUGGCUUUUUAGGUGAAAAUAAUUUGAAUUGUUGUUCAGCAGAGGCUGAAGACUCGUUCAGAAAGGUGUUGGACUUAUCAAGAGGUUGAAGGGUUGAAUGGAAAAUGAUUUAAAAAACAUUCAAAAUAUGUUGAAGGAGGCGAUAUAUCGCCCCCUAUAGGCGAUAUAUCGCCUGGACCAUUAUGCCCGAGGCAAACGUGCAUCGUUUCGUGUUUUUCGUAUCUACGUGCUGCGAUAUAUCGCCCCCUAUAGGUGCGAUAUAUCGGCAUACGCUGAUUAUUUAAACACGAAAUUACACAUUUUUAGCUUAAUUCAAAUUGAGUAAACAGCCUUGACUAAGCCCUCAAACGUAUUCAAAGCUGCUGAUUGACCUUAGAGCAUUCAAAUUUUACCCUUAUUAAAUUUAAUCCUCUAAAUACUUAAUCCUUAAUCACCCAUACAUAACAUGUGCUUAAAAUCCUAUUGGUUCUUAUCUAAACCUUAUAGUAUAUUAAAUAUUAUCCUUAAUAUCAGCCAUAUUAAUCAAACCUUAGGUUAACAUCAAUAUUCUUAAACUAUAGGUUAAACUUAGAAAAUCUACAAGUACUGCUAUGAGUGUCCAAAUAAAUCCCGGUCCGAACCAAAAAUCCACAGUCAUAAAGAUAAUACUAUUAUUACUAUUAUACUACUAUCUAACUAGCUAAGUAAAGUUCUUGGACUCUACAGUGGAGUUGGAUUUAGGUUCGUUACGGGUGGUUACAGACUUCUUGCCUUUGGAAUUGGGGGGUGCUGAUGCAAUUUUGGGCAUUCAAUGGCUGAGUACGUUGGGCAAUAUGCAGGUCAACUGGCGAACAAUGGUGAUGAAAUUCGAAGUAGGGGGGUCGUGGGUAACAUUACAGGGGGACCCCAGUUUGUGCAAAUCACAAAUCUCCCCGAAAGCCUUGAUUCACUUGGUUCAACAAGAAGGACAAGGAUACUGGAUUCAGUUUGGGGCCUUGGCAGCCAAUACCGAGAACUUGUGUACAACUACGUUGCCCGAAGUUGAGGAUAUAUUACAGAAGCAUGAUUCGGUUUUCCACAUGCCGAGAGGGUUGCCUCCUCCGCGUUCUCAUGAGCACCAUAUCACAAUGAAGGAGGGCUCAGGUCCAAUAUCGGUUAGACCGUACCGAUACGCACAGAUACAAAAGGAUGAGAUAGAGAAUUUGUUGACUGAAAUGUUACAGGCAGGGAUAGUACAGCCCAGCACGAGCCCUUUUUUGAGCCCGGUACUCCUCGUAAAAAAGAAAGACAGCAGCUGGAGAUUUUGUGUUGAUUAUAGAGCCUUGAACCGCGAGACGGUCGCUGAUAAAUUCCCUAUUCCAGCGAUAGACGAGUUAUUAGAUGAACUAUAUGGGGCGAAGGUCUUUUCGAAAUUGGACCUUAAAUCCAGAUAUCACCAAAUAAGAGUGGCAGCAAGAGAUAUAGAAAAGACGGCUUUCCGAACACACGAGGGGCACUACGAAUUUUUGGUAAUGCCAUUCGGCCUAACCAAUGCUCCAGCCACGUUUCAAGCCUUGAUGAACGACGUCUUUCGUGAGUUUUUGAGAAAAUUCGUGUUAGUCUUUUUUGACGAUAUACUCAUUUAUAGCACAUCACUGGAGCUUCACUUACAGCACCUGGAUUUAGUCUUAAGUCGCCUCAGCCAGCAUCGACUUUAUGCCAACAAAAAGAAGUGUUUGUUUACGCAGUCCAAAUUGGAAUAUUUGGGCCACAUUGUCUCGGCGGAAGGAGUUUCAGCGGACCCGCUGAAACUGGCAGCAAUGUCACGGUGGCCAGCGCCGAAAAAUCUGAAAGAAUUAAGGGGUUUUCUCGGUCUUACCGGUUAUUAUAGGAAGUUUGUAAGAGGCUAUGGGCAGUUGGCAAGACCGUUAACGGACCAGUUAAAGAAAGAUGCUUUUGGCUGGAGUAAGGAAGCACAAGACGCAUUCCUAGCAUUGAAGAGAUCCAUGUGUGAAGUCCCAGUUUUGGCUCUGCCAAAUUUCGCAGCCCCGUUUGUGGUGGAAACGGAUGCCUCGGGUACAGGCCUUGGGGCUGUAUUGAUGCAACAGCAGCGCCCUAUAGCAUAUUUUAGCAAAGCACUUUCUCCUCGGGCUCGCUGUAAAUCAGUAUAUGAGCGGGAGCUCAUGGCAAUGGUGUUAGCUAUACAAAAAUGGCGCCCUUACUUGUUGAGCCGCCAAUUUAUUGUUCGGACAGAUCAACGGAGUUUACGCUACUUACUUGAGCAGCGAAUGGUAGCAACGAAGCACCAAAAGUGGCUGACGAAGUUACUGGGUUAUGAUUUUCAGGUACAGUACAGACCGGGCCUUGAAAACAAGGUUGCCGAUGCAUUAUCGAGGGUACCUCAGGUGGUGGAGUGCCAAGCAUUGUCGAUCCCCAACAUGAUUUCAAUUUCGGAUUUGAAGCACCAUGUAGCCACUGAUCCUAAUCUGUCCAAAAUUAUUCAAAAACUUCAGGCAGGAAAAACUUGCGCAGGGUACUCUUUUGCUAAGGAUUAUCUAUAGUUUAAAGGGCGGCUGGUUAUUCCUUCCUCAUCACCAUUUAUACCAUUAUUACUAUAGGAGUAUCAUUGCAGUAAUGUGGGGGGUCACGCAGGGGCAUUUCGUACAUAUCAGCGAGUAGCUGCUGAUUUAUAUUGGCACGGGAUGCGGGGAGAUAUACAGAAAUUCGUCGCUGAAUGUCCCAUAUGCCAGCAGAGUAAGUAUUUGGCCCAAUCGCCAGCCGGAUUGCUACAGCCACUCCCAAUACCAGACCAAGUAUGGGAUGCUAUCUCAAUGGAUUUUAUAGAGGGUCUUCCACAAUCUAAUGGUUUUGACUUGAUCCUUGUGGUGGUGGAUCGCUUAUCAAAGUAUGGGCAUUUUGUUCCUCUUCGGCACCCUUACACAGCCGCUACGGUCGUUGCAGUUUUCGUCAAGGAGGUGGUCAAGUUACACGGUAUUCCAAGAUCCAUUGUCUCGGAUAGGGAUAAAAUUUUUCUUAGCCUUUUUUGGAAGGAACUAUUCAAGUUACAAGGGACAAUGCUCAAGCAUAGCUCAGCCUACCAUCCACAAAUGGAUGGCCAGACCGAGGUACUUAAUAGGUGCUUGGAGACAUACUUACGCUGCUUUGUAAGCUCUAAGCCGUUGCAGAGGGUAAAAUGGUUAGCUUGGGCAGAGUAUUGGUACAAUACGUCUUAUCAUUCGGCAGCAGGAAUGACAUCAUUCAAGGCGUUGUACCACAGAGAUCCACCACCUGUAAUUCGAUUAGAAGGUAACCAAACGAUUAUGUUGGCUGUAGAAAAAAAUCUGCAAGCGCGUGAUGAAGUUUUAGAGCUGCUGAAGAUGAACUUGCACCGUGCCCAGCAAAAGAUGAAGUUUCAGGCUGACAAGAAGAGAAGGGACAUUGAAUAUGCAGUUGGUGAUAAGGGCUGUGAAGCUUAAACCAUAUAGACAGCAGACAUUGGCCAAGCGUAAGAACCAGAAAUUGAGACCUUUGUUUUUUGGCCCGUACCAGAUUCUAUCCAAGAUAGGCAUGACGGCUUACAAGCUGCAACUACCGGCUGAGGCAAAGAUACAUCCUGUUUUUCAUGUGUCUAUGCUCAGACCAGCUUUGGAUCCGCACCAAACAGCUACCACCCUCCCCAAGAAGCUGACAGAAGAACUGGAGUGGCUCCUCGAACCAGAAGCGCCGUUGGACAUGAGACCGGGAACACAUACGGAACAGCCGCAAGUGUUGAUCAAAUGGCUGCAUCUACCUGAGUUCAAAUCUACCUGGGAGGAUUUAGCAACGGUUCAACAACAGUUUCCAGACUUCCACCUUGAGGACAAGGUGCGUCUUUGGGCCGGGGGUAAUAUUAGACCACCAUUGACGUAUGUCUAUGCUAGGAGGGGUAAGGGCAGAAAGAAUGACAGGUCAGCAGAGAGUAGGAGUGAGGAGAGUUAGUUAGAAGGGGUUUUGUAUUGUGUAAGGGGAACAUGGUAGAAUUGAUAAGCCUUAGUAUAAAUAGAGGAGAGAAGUAGAGCAAAGUGUGCAUUCCUUUACUGAGAAAUCUGAUUGUAAUUGGAGAGAACCCAGCUCUCGAAUUCUGGGUAUUUUCAAUGAAAAGGUUGUUGAGGAGCAUUAUUGAGCUUGGUUAUUAAAUUCCUUACUGUUAAUUCUAGCAUUACCAUAUCAGAAUUUCAGAAGAGAAGAACCAAAAAUUUCCUUCUCCUUCAGUACCUAUCUCCCCCCGAAGGGAAUUUUUAGGAUAGAAAUGAGUGUUUAAAAAAAUUGAGAUCCAUGGACAAUCAAUUUUUUCGGUUUUGGGGAAGACUGCUGCUCAUUUUGUGGAUCCACAUUCGACUCAAAACUGAUUGUUGGUUUUAUACCGAUUGUUGGUUUUAUAUGAGGGGUAGUACUCGGUUUGAAGUCGGUAUUGAGUUUAUUGUUAUAGGGUUUGGUGUUGGCAUUUUCCUAGUUAAUAUCUUUCAGACCAAAAUAAUGCGAGUCCUUUUGGCAUGUAGUCAAUAGUUGGCUCAUAGCUGACUGUAGGGAUUGUUCUCGCAAGGUAUCAACUAGGUUGAGUGCUUUAUGCAUUAGCAGCUCAAGACCGACGGUUGAAAAUGCAUCAAGAUACCAGUAUGGGAUUAGUGACAUGUGUCUAUAGCCAUUUAUGUUAAGUGUUAGAAUCCCACAUCGACUAUGCAUGAGAUUGGUGGGUGGUUUAUAAAUUGCUAGGAUCCCACAUUGACCAAGUAUGAGAGUGGUUGGUGGUUUAUAACUACUUGGACACUCCUUCCAUAGGCUAGUCUUUUGGGAGUGAGUUCUACCUAAGUGGUUAUAACAAAUGCUAUCAAAGCCACACACCCUCAAGUGGAACCUAUGUUGCAAAAGGGGCAACCUAUGGAAGGGGCAGCCUAGAGUGGGGCGGCCCCUCUAAGAGUGGUGUAUUGUUAGAAUCCCACAUCGACUAAGUAUGGGAUUGGUUGGUGGUGGGUGGUUUAUAAUUACUUUGGGCACCAUCCUCCCAUAGGCUAGUAUUCUGGAAUGAGUUUUACCUAAGUGGUUAUAACAAUAUGUCUAAGAAAGUGAAAUAAAUGAGGUACUAAUGUUGCACUUACCCUUUUUCCGAAUAUUCAUGGUCAAAUAGAGAACCAAAACUAUACACUCAUAUAUAUCACUUAUAGUCUCAUACAUGACCAAGUGCUAAGUAAUAAAAGUGUAGAUUUUUGAAUAAUCGAUUUAUUAUUCAUCAAAGAGAAUUGCCUAUUAAUAGGCAGAUUACAACAGAAAACUACAGGCUAAGCUAUACAAUUAACCUAGGUCAACUAAUCUCCUAAAAAUCAAGAAUAUGCAAUAUAUUAGGAAAUAAGAUAAUUCGGUUUCCUUAAAGGAUUGAUACCAAAUAAAUACAAGAUAUUUACAUAAUUCUACACUCUUCCUCAAGCUGGGUUAUGUAUAUCAAACAUUCCCAGCUUGCACACUAAUUCAUCAAAGACAAUUUUAGGAAGGGCUUUGGUAAGAACAUCAGCUAUUUGAAGUCUUGAUGGAGUAUAGAUAGUUUGAACUGUGGCACUCUCUAUCUUCUCAAUGAUCAAGUGUCGAUCUAUCUCACUAUGUUUUGUCAUGUCAUGAUGAACAGGAUUUUUAGCAAUACUAAUAGCAGCCUGAUUAUCGCAAAGCAUUUUUAUGGACUCGCCUGCAAAUAGUCUUAGUUCACUCAGUAAUCUUUUUAGCCAAAUCCCUUCACAAACACCUAGAGCAAGAGCUCUAAAUUCUGCUUCAGCUGUACUUCUGGAAACCACUGAUUGUUUCUUACUUCUCCAAGUCACUAGAUUACCCCAAACAUAAGAACAACAUCCUGAAGUACUCCUGUCUGUUACGUCUCCUGCCCAAUCUGCAUCAGUGUAGACUUUGAUCUCUCUGCUAUCACUUUUCUUGAAUUAUAGACCUUUCCCAGGAUUCAUCUUGAGGUAUCUUAAGAUUCUAGUAACAUCUUCCAUGUGUUCUUCAGUAGGAUUGUUCAUGUAUUGACUGACAACACUAACUGAAAAACCAAUGUCAGGUCUGGUAUGAGAUAGGUAGAUCAGGCGUCCAACUAACCUUUGAUAUCUCCCCCUGUCUACUGGUGUCAUAUCCUUUCCUAAACCCACUUUCUUGUUGGAGUCCAUUGGGGUUGAGGCAGGUUUGCAUCCAAGCAUUCCUGUUUCCUUCAGUAAGUCUAGAACGUACUUACGUUGAGAAACAAAUAUGCCAUGUCUUGAUCGAGCAAUUUCCAUGCCAAGAAAAUAUCUAAGAUACCCAGGAUCUUUAAUCUCGAAUUCCUUAGAUAAGAAAUCUUUCAAUCUCUCCAUCUCCUCCUUGUAGUCACCUGUAAGUAUUAUGUCAUCCACAUAGACAAUUAGGAUAGCUAUCCUUUUAUUUGACGAGAAUCUAACAAACAAAGUGUGAUCUGCUUGACAUUGAGUAUACUCAUUCUGAAUGAUUGCUUUAGUGAAUCUGCCAAACCAUGCUCGUGGAGAUUGUUUAAGACCAUACAAAGAUUUCUUGAGUUUGCACACUUUGUCUUGAUUUGAAGAGUUCUCGAAGCCCGGCGGAAUGUCCAUAUAAACUUCUUCUUCAAGGUCACCGUUUAGGAAUGCAUUUUUCAUAUCAAGUUGGUGUAGGGGCCAAUCUUUAUUUGCAGCAAGGGAUACAUGUACAGUGUUAAGCUUGGCAACAGGCGCAAACGUUUCUUGAUAAUCGAUUCUGUAGGAUUGAAUGAAGCCUUUAGCAACAAGGCAAGCUUUAAACCUCUCAAUGCUCCCAUCUGCUUUGUGUUUAACGGUAAAGACCCACUUGCAACCCACGGAUUUCUUCCCAGGUGGUAGACUUGUGAUUGUCCAAGUACUGUUUUUCACCAAAGCACUAAUCUCAUUUUCCACAGCCUCUUUCCAUCGAGAAUCAGUCAGAGCCUCUUGAAUUGUGUGAGGAAUCUGUAUAUUAUCAAUAACAGAGACAAACGCCUGAUAGGAUAGUGAUAAUGUUUUGUAAGAUAUAAAAUUGCCAAUAGGAUGUUCUGUACAUGCACGAACUCCCUUUCUCAACGCAAUCGGCAAAUCUAAAUCAUCAUUUAUUUGAACAACAUUAUCAUGGUUAGAAUUACUUAAACCUGAACGAGUUUCUGGAGAAUGAGGAUCCGGUUCCGAUUCAUGGUGGUCCUCCAGAUGUGUUGUGUGCUCUAUAUCUUUACCAUAUUUUUUUCUUCUCGUAUAGACACGAAUUUCUGGUUCUUGACAAGGUGCAAGAGCCAUGGAUGGACCUGGAGAGUUUUCAAUGAUUUGGGAACCUAAGGGUUUAGAGGAAGAUGAAACUUGAUUUUCUAUGACUUGAGAGUUGGAAGAAUCCUCAUGGUGAACACUCGGAGAUGAAGUAUUAUUAAUACUCGGAAUAGUGUCCCAAAGAUGAGAUUCACCUGCAUUCUCCCCCUGAAUCUCAGAUUUGUAGCAAGCAUGAUUUUCAAAAAAGGUGACAUCCAUAGUGUUAUACAUUUUUCGAGUUAUAAGCGAAUAACAUUUAUAACCCUAUUAAUGAGAGGAAUAACCAAGAAAAAUACAUUUGAUAGAUUUAGGGUCUAGCUUACUACGAUUUUGAGAAUGAAGAUGACGAAGGCUGUGCAACCAAAGAUCUUAGGAUUAAGAAGACUAAUGAAUUUCGUAUGAGGGAAUGAUUGCAAAACUGUGUGACAUGGAGUUUGAAAGUUGAGUACUCGAGAUGGCAUUCGAUUGAUUAGAUAGGUGGCUGUAAGAACAGCUUCUCCUCAGAAAUAUUUGGGAACCUGAGUAGAAAACAUGAGAGAGCGACUUCUAAGAAAUGUCUAUUUUUCUGUUCAGCAACCCCAUUUUGUUGAGGAGUAUCAACACAAGAGCUUAAGUGUAGAAUACCUUGUUGUGUGAGGUAAGGACCGAGAAUAGAAUUGAAGAAAUCUGUGGCAUUGUCGGUCUUGAGGAUUUGAAUUUUAGUAAGAAACUAAGUUUGAAUCAUAGUGAAAUUUUUUAAAAAUUUCACUUACUUCUGAUUUUGAUUUUAUGAGAAACACCCAAGUUAAUCUAGUAUGAUCAUCGAUAAAAGAUGCAAACUAUUUUUGUCCAGUUAUAUUGUUUACACGUGAGGGACCCCACACAUCACUAUGGAUCAAUGAAAACGGUUUGGAAGAUUUAUAUGGUAUUAUAGAAUAGGUAUUUCGAGUGUGUUUUGCAAAUUGACAGAUUUCACAACAAAAAGAGAUUGGAUUUUUAUUAAUAAAUAAGGAGGGAAACAUUUUUGACAAAUAUAGAAAAUUCGGAUGACCAAGACGAUAGUGCCUACAUAAUAUCACUAUCUUUAUUUGAAAUAGACUGAUUAUUUAAAGAAAACAAACUGAAUUUCUGAGCUGUCCUAACGGAUGGAGUGUCAUCUUGUAGGAUAUAGAGCCCAGAACACAUCUUAGCACUGUCAAUCAUCUUCCCCGAAUCCAAUUCCUGAAACACACAAAUUUGAGUAAAACUUAGUCACACAGUUUAGGUCACGAGUAAAUUUACUAAUAGGUAGUAAAUUACAAUCCAGUUUAGGCACAUAGAGAACAGAAGUGAGAGUUAGGUUCUGAUUUAUGUUGACUGAACCCGAACCCUCAACCUUAGAGGAUGUGCCGUCUGCAAUUUUCACUGUAUGAUGCUCUGGACUUGUGUGAAAUUCAAAAAAAAUAUUUGCAUCUCCUGUCAUAUGAUCUGAUGCUCCCGAAUCAAGAAUCCUAGGGUUAGUAGUUCUUUUAUUGACAAUAAAAGCUACUGAAUGGUUGCCUUUCAUGGCCAAUAGCCCUGUACCAGGUGUAGUAUUCGGCUUUGCAGCGAUGUGUGACCGACUUGGGAGUUUCUGAAGUGCCUCUAAUUGUGCUUUAGUGAACGGUGAUGAAUCAGAUGUGUCCCCUUUUCCUUCAGCAGCAGCAACAUUUAAAAUGGCAGCGACAUUCCCGUGACUCUCUGUCUUUCCAUGAUUUCGGCUUCCAAUCAGCAGGCUUUCCAUGAAGUUUCCAGCAUGUUUCUUUGAAAUGCCCAGGUUUACGACAGUGAACGCACCAUGGUCGACCCUUCUGCUGUCCUCUUGCAGCAAGAGCAGAGGACUCUUGAGUAGAUGGAAAAGCGCCCAUCAUGACCUUCUUUCUGCUUUCUUCAUGUCGAAUCUCUAAGAAUGCUUCUUUGACUGUCGGAAGUGGCUUGAUACUCAUGAUCCUACUCCUGACAGCAUCAAGUUCCUUAUUGAGACCAUGAAGAAAUUUGAAAGUUCUCAUUUUCUCUACAGUACUCCGGUAUAGAGUAGUAUCAUCUGUACACUUCCAAGAAUAGGUUUCAAAUAGGUCCAAUUGAUGCCAAAAACGAGUAAGAGUGUUAAAAUAUUGUGUGACUGUAGUAUCUUCUUGGCGGAGAUCGUAAAGAGCGGCUUCAAUCUCAAAUAAUUCUGAUGUAUUAUCAGACCGAGAAUAAAAAUCUUUGACAGCAUCCCAAAGUUCCUUGGCUGUCGAAUAUAAAAGAAAGUUUUCUCCUAUAUCAUUAUUCAUUGAACUAACCAGCCAAGAUUUGAUCAUGUGAUUAUCUAUUUUCCAAGUUUUAUACUUUGGAUUGUCUGAUUUUGGAGUCUCAAUCUCCCCUGUGAGAUAUUCCUCCUUCCCCUUUCCAUCGAUAUACAUCAUUACUGACUGUGACCAUUGAAGAUAAUUAUGGCCAUUGAACUUGUGGUUGGUGACCAGAGAAACAACGUCAUUACUGUGAGAUGAAGAACUGAUUGAUGCAUGUGGAUUAGAGAGGGUUGAUGGAUAGGAGGAUGCAUCUGAGUUUAGGCUUUCUUUUUUAGUAGCCAUGGUGAAAGUGAUGCGUGAAAAGAUGAACAGAGGAGAAGGGCUGGUACGAUUUAGAGAAAGAAUGAGUGAAAGAGGCUGGUGCGAUUAGGGCAGAAAAGAAAGGAAAAAAAAUAUUGCGAUUAAAACCACCCCUGCUUUGAUACCAUGUAGAUUUUUGAAUAAUUGAUAUAUUAUCCAUCAAAGAGAAUUUCUUAUUAAUAGGCAGAUUACAACAGAAAACAAUAGGCUAGCUAUACAAUUAACCUAGGUGAACUAAUCUCCUAAAAAUCAAGAAUAUACAAUAUAUUAGGAAAUAAGAUAAUUUGGUUUCCUUAAAGGAUUGAUACCAAAUAAAUACAAGAUAUUUACAUAAUUCUACAAAAAGUUAUGUAAGUUAUAUGCUAUUUUCACUUAUAGUCUCAUACAUGACUAAGUGCUAAGUAAUAAAAGCUAUGUAAGUUAUAUGCUAUUUUCCUAAGCUCACACCCUGCAUCAAUUUAAGUGUCACCUUAAGGUCAUAGCUUUAUUUGCAUAAAAAAAAACUAUGUAAGCAAUUCAUUGUGACAAAUGCUAAGUGAUAAAAACCAUGCUGAGUUAUAUGUUGUUUUCCUAAAAGCUCACACUUGGCAUAAAAGCUAUGUAAGCAAUUCAUUGUGAUAAAACAUAUGUAAGUUAUAUGUUAUUUUCCUAACAUCUCACACUUGACAUUAAUAAAAAAUUUGGCUUCAAAUCUGAAUGCUAAGUAUUGACACUAGUUCAAGUGUAUAAAAGAUCACCAAUCCGACUACUCUAUAAUUGCAACCAAAGCAGGUGCUAAAUAUCAUCAAUCUGAGUGCUCAAUGAAACAUAUGGUUCAGCUGUAAUGAUUAGUUAAAUAAUAAUGUGUAAAUUGUCUUACACAAGUUGGUGUAAAAUAGUUUAUGGUUUCACACAAGAUGUGAAAUUAUGAGUUUCUGACGUUAGCAUCUAGAAUUAAAUUUUUUAGUUUCAAACUGAUACAAUAAAGUAUUUAAGCAUCUUCAAAAGUUUGAGAACUUUCGAAGUGGUUUUGGCAUGGAAAUAGAAAUGUCGAGCAGCAGGAUGGGCGACAUGUCGCCACCCUUAGGGUGACAUGUGGUGGCCUUCUUGGUGACAUGUUGUGGCUCCUACUCCUAGGGUGAUAAUUUCAUUUUUUGGCUCCAAAAAUAUACUUUAAAAAAGUUUAAUUCUAUUGGUUAAGCCUAGGACAUUGCUAACAAUAUAAUUAGGAGUUUUAAGAGUACUAAACCUUUGAUCAUAUUUUUGAACUCUACUAGCUUUGAAAGAACAUCAAUUUUCUCCGAGAAACUCAUUAAGAUUUACUUGACUUGUGUGAGUUUCAAGGCUUGUUGUAUUUGAAUCCUCAUUCCACUAUUGUUUAAGCCUCAAGGUACAUUUGAUUGCAUGACCUAGGGCUCAAUCCAUACUCAGAUGUAUGCCGAAGUUUUCAUAAAUAUUGGAGGAAUUCUUAACUACAUUCAAAUAUAAGGGACAAGGUGACAAUCGGAUGCAAUCCAAGUGCUCACAAUGAUCUCUUAUGAGCAUCAUUUAAUAUUAUUUUACUUUGCUCCCAAGAUGCUUCAAACUAGGGACCGAAGUCACGUAUUAGAGGGGAAGCAGUCUACUCUCCAAACUAGGUAGCAGUUUUUCUCUGAAAUAGGGCGAAGAUCACUUCUCCAGGGCCAUGAUUUGGAGAGCAAUGACUCCUGGGAAGCUUACAAAAGUCCAUUCUUAGACUAAGAGGGGGGGACAACCAUUUUCCUACUGUUACUGUACCAAAAUUCAGACUCAUUCACUCCAUCAAACUGUUGUCAUACUCGGAACUAUUCUUUGGUUCUUUGACCCUUACUGAUCUAUCACUUUUUCUCUUUGAACUAUUUACUUUCUGUCAGUUUGUUUUUGUUAUAUUUGUCUACAAGUUUACUGACCUAACUAUCAGAGUGCCUUCAGCUGAAACCAUCUUGAUGUUUCAUGAUUUUCCAGUUACUUGUUUGUCUAUGUUAUAUGAGGUGUAAACGAUGACGAUCAACUUCAAUGAUUGUAGAUUUUAGCAUCUACAAUUACUACCUUUUCCUUUCCUGUUAGAGACAACAGGUAUUGGAAGUUCAGCUUCCUGGGAAGAAAGUAGUGAAUGCAGCCUCCUUUUGGAACGGAUUGCGAGGUCAAAAGCUCAAGACUGUAUCACGAGAGAAAUAACAUGGAGACAGCAAUGUAAGUUGAUCAAGAUUUAGGUUGAGCUACUCGAGCAUGGGUUAAGCAAAUUAUGUUUGCGUUGUAUUCCUUUUUAUAUAUAUUUCUAUAAUGUACUCCACCAUUCUUUGUUUAAUACAUGAUAGUUGUCCUUUCUGCCAAAACUAGAGCCACAUUGACAAUUCUUUUGAUCAACUCUUGUGAUUUUUACACAUGUAGCAAAGAGCUUGAUCUCAUUAUUUAGUC
This is an RNA transcript of Humulus lupulus (European hop), 19676 nucleotides long. RefSeq lists it as uncharacterized. The transcript has 2 exons. NCBI's taxonomy places the organism in Eukaryota, Viridiplantae, Streptophyta, Magnoliopsida, Rosales, Cannabaceae. The record is from RefSeq and is a predicted model, not a curated record.